AAAACACAGACUAACAUCACAGAUCAGUGAGGUGAGCAGCAGAUGUCUCUUCUGACCUCUUUUACACCCUUUUGACUUCUGCAAUGUUGACAUUUAUAUUUAUAUUACUGACUGUAACUGGAGGAAACAUGGCCACAGAUGUCAUCACACCAUACAGAGAUGCAGUAUUUAUCAGUGAAUCUGAGAGUGUGACACUGUCUUGUAACUACACUGGAUCUGUUGAUAGUCUUCAGUGGUAUCGACAAUAUUCAGCUUCACCACCAGAAUUCCUCAUAUUGGAUUAUUAUGGAUCAGUAACACAAGCUGAUCCUCCAGUUUCAGGAAUCUCCAUCAAACACAGAAAAGCUGACAGCAGUGUGGAUCUGAAGAUCUCAUCUGUUAAAGUCACAGACUCUGCUCUGUAUUAUUGUGCACUGAUGCCCACAGUGACAGGAAACACAACAACACUGUACAAAAACCUCACUGACUGAGCUGUAAGACAAGAAAUUGUCUCAAAUGUUGAAUGUGUCAAAUAUGAGAUCGCUGAUCUGAGCAUCUUUUCUGAAAACCGUGUGCAAUGUUUUGACCAUAAACAAUUGUGUCUAUUUAUUUGUAUUCAAAACACAGAUGUACUGUUUAUUGCUCAUACUGCAGGGUUAAUGUUACGUCAG
Non-coding RNA from Misgurnus anguillicaudatus (oriental weatherfish), 650 nucleotides. Lineage: Eukaryota; Metazoa; Chordata; Actinopteri; Cypriniformes; Cobitidae. The record is from the annotation of a RefSeq genome assembly.